GACGCCACUGCUCCUAGUUCCCCUCCGGCUCCGCACUUGCAGGUCGCCUCCUUAAUCCAUCACUGGCAGCCGCUGGAGGUCGUUCCAGAUUGAAUCCCUGAGGGCCGGCAGCUGAGACGUACCUUCUCCGUCACCGCUAACACCAGGACACCGCUGCUGCCAAUUCCCCUCCACUCUCGCACUUGCAGGUUUGUCUCUAACUCCUGCAGUAGCUACUAGAUUGCUAAUUAUGUUAGGACUGAAUUUGUCAGUUGUAUGUUAGCAUAUUAUCUUUGUAAAUCACUAUGUUUUAUUGUUGAAUCACUAUGUUAGCAUAUUUAUUGUUACAGAAUGGAUGUUGGAAAGGUCAAACGUCUCUUGCGUUAUCCUAAAGGUUCCGAUCAAUAUGUAGCUGGUGUUAAAGGAUUUAUUGAAUUUGCAUUUAAAGAUAAGUCUGAAGGUACCAAGAUCUAUUGCCCAUGUCAAACAUGUGUUCACACUACUACACAACCAAGGGAUGAGAUGUAUGGACAUCUGGUGUGCAAUGGGAUACUUGAGAAUUAUGAUGAAUGGGUUUUUCAAGGUCAUCAUUCAGUGAAAGACACCGGUAGUGAAGAAGCUAAUUCACAUAGCGAGGAAAUGCACGUUAAUAUAGAUCAACUGAUUGAAGAUGUUGUAGGGCAUUUGUAUGAUGACACAACAAUGGUCGAUAGUCAAAUACCACUAAAAGGGCCUAAUUUAGAAGCACAAUGGUUUUAUAAGCAGCUGGAAGAUUCCAAAAAACCUCUAUGGACAGGGUGUGAGUUGAGUGAGCUAACUCUUUUUGUGCUUCUAUUUAAUGUCAAAACCAUGAAUAAGUGGUCUGAUAAGUCUUUUGAUGAUCUACUAGAGGUUUUGCGUAUGGCUAUUCCAGAUGGAAAGGAACUGCCCAAGAACUUUUAUGAGGCUAAGAAACUUAUUUCUAAAUUUGGUCUUGGAUAUGAAAAUAUCGAUGCUUGUCCAAAUAAUUGUCAGCUGUAUUGGAAGGAAAAAAAGAUGAUGAUUUUUGCUCAAAUUGUAAGGCUUCAAGGUGGAAGGAUAAGGAACCUGAGUCUGUAUUAACAAAGAAGGAAAGAAGGAAAGCAACACCUUGCAAAGUUUUAUGAUACUUCCCUAUUAAAAAGAGGCUGAAAAGACAAUUUAUGUGUAGACAAACAGCAACUUUUCUAAGAUGGCAUGAUGAGGAGCGCAUUAAGGAUGGUGCACUCCGACAUCCUGCUGAUGCACCGGUGUGGAAUAGGUUUGAUGAAAAGUUCCCAGAAUUUGCAUCGGAAUCUCGUAAUAUUCAUUUUGGUUUGGCUACUGAUGGGUUUAAUCCAUUUGCAAUGUUGAGCUCCACUCAUAGUUGUUGGCCUGUUGUUUUGGUAGUAUAUAACCUACCUCCUUGGCUUUGCAUGAAAGAACACAACAUUAUGUUGUCUUUAAUUAUUCCUGGUCCAAAAAGUCCUGGAGAUAGCAUUCAUGUUUUCCUUCAGCCACUCUUGGAUGACCUAAAGGAUUUAUUUGAGAUUGUGAUUACUUGUCUCUCUAGGGUUAUCACAUUAUUAAUUAUGAUAGAAAAUCUGUAAUUUGCAACAGGGUAUGAACAAGGAUGCAACAUCUAAAUGCUCACAACAAAUAAACUAUCAGGCUGGCACUCCCGUAUACAUAAAGAGCUGGAGACAUAAAAGUAAGAAUGUUGCCUUAGGGACAAUACUGAGUGUUGAUCCAGAUCAGAAAGUUGGAGGCCUUGAGCUAGGCAAAGAAUUUUAUAUGCUGUGUGUUGGUCUUACCUCUGUGCCUGAUGAGCCACUAAUACGACCAUAUGACAACUUCCAAGUUAUCGGAGACGUAGGCAAAAAUCCUAUAGCAUGGCCUUCAAGUUGUGUUGCAAAGAGUGUCAGCCAAUCAUAUUGAUUUAGCCAGGUUGGAACCCAUAGAAUGCAAGGUCUACUGGAAUGGUGCUUUCACUGGUCAUUUGAAUUGGUUCAAGAGAAGAGUCGAUUGCAACUAGACUCCUAUAUGUAUAUGUUGCUUUCACAGAAAACAUGUUUUAGAACACACAUUAUUUGAUAGAUUAUGUUUUGGAUGAAACUCUAUAAUCGGAUAUUUUGUUUUAAAUAUAGAAUUUAGAGUUGUGCGCAUUUAGCAUUGUGUCUUAUGAUGAUGGAAAAAUUCAAGGCAUUGUGUAUGCUAUAUAUUUGUAUGAACUCAAAUAAAUAAAUAAAUAAAUAAUUUCAUGGUUUAUUCCUUGCAACGCAUA
Long non-coding RNA from Zea mays, 2260 nucleotides. RefSeq lists it as uncharacterized. The record is from RefSeq and is a predicted model, not a curated record. NCBI's taxonomy places the organism in Eukaryota, Viridiplantae, Streptophyta, Magnoliopsida, Poales, Poaceae. The transcript is spliced from 4 exons.